GUGCCAGCAGCCGCGGUAAUACGAAGGGGGCGAGCGUUGUUCGGAGUUACUGGGCGUAAAGGGCGCGUAGGCGGCGAUCCAAGUUAGGCGUGAAAGCCCCGGGCUCAACCUGGGAAUAGCGCUUAAGACUGGGUUGCUUGAGUGCGGGAGAGGUGAGUGGAAUUCCCAGUGUAGAGGUGAAAUUCGUAGAUAUUGGGAAGAACACCAGUGGCGAAGGCGGCUCACUGGCCCGCAACUGACGCUGAGGCGCGAAAGCGUGGGGAGCAAACAGGAUUAGAUACCCUGGUAGUCC
This 292-nucleotide ribosomal RNA is filed under the name uncultured bacterium. RNAcentral describes it as "partial 16S ribosomal RNA". It matches the Rfam family "Bacterial small subunit ribosomal RNA", at positions 505 to 796 of the family's 1533-position model. The record is from RNAcentral.